UUGCUCAGAAUGAGAUGAAAGACAUGAGAUGAAGAUGGAAGAAGAGGGAAGGACAAGGGCUCAGACUUGUCUCUUGACAGCACCAUCAGCUUCCCAACGUCUCUUUUCCUCCCUUUUCUUUUUCUUUUUUUUCUUUUUCA
This 140-nucleotide non-coding RNA is filed under the name Gloeochaete wittrockiana. Lineage: Eukaryota; Glaucocystophyceae; Gloeochaetales; Gloeochaetaceae. The record is from RNAcentral.